CCGAAGCAGGCUCCAGGCUCUGAGCUGUCAGCACAGAGCCCGACGCGGGGCUCGAACCCACGAACCGCGAGAUCAUGACCUGAGCUAAAGUCGGACGCUCAACCGACUGAGCCACCCAGGCGCCCGCAGGGGCGCUUUCUAAAACACAUUGGUCCUAUGACAGUUGAAGAGCAGACCCCACAUCUCCCAGGGCUUGGGGGCCUGACUCCCCGAGGCAGCUGCCAGGGACACUGUAGUUGCUGGGUUGGCGAGACCCUGAGGCAAAAUCCGCAGCUAAGCUGAUGAGCCAGGCUAGGCCUCCCCAAGUCAACUCCAUCCCAGUGAGACCUGCUUAGUGUAUGCUGUGUAGACAUUCUCGAGAGAACAGAAAUCCAAACCCGACACCUGAUGGUUGGGGCAUCCAGAGAAGCCAAACACAGCAAAUGCCAUCAUCCCAGAGACUUGUCCCCCCAUGAUGUGAGAGUCAUCCCUAACAGGAGCCGGGGAGGAGGAUGCCACAGCCCCGGAGCUUGUCAUGGGAAACGUCUUCGCAGUGAGGGCGCGUGUCCCUGGUGGCUCCCGGCCUGGGAUGGAGCCCCGACAGCAGAACUUGGCCAAACAAGGGUGUGUCGUGGGCGUGUAUGUUUGGGGGGGGGGUUAGCCUGCUGCUGAGGGCCCAGGGUCGCUCCUCUGUUCGCCUCCACCCCACAGAUGUGGCGGCCAGAACCGGACAUCUCUGGGUUGGCAUCCCCAGUCCUGGCACCUGCUUGCCCAGGCAGCUGCAGGAGGUCAGGGUGGGCACCAGCCAGGCCGGGAACGGCCUCGGGGAGGAGUCGCAGCACCAUCCCAAGACCUCAGGGCAGAGUGGCUGGGUCAAGCCAUGUGCGGCAUAGCCUGGGGACAAGCCACUGGUGAGGAGUCACCUCCUGAGGCCCUGAGGGGCUGUAGGGGACCCCCCCCCCGACCCACCUCCUGGGGAUGCAGGGCCUGGGUCGCAGGCCCAUGGGUCUCUUCAGCUGUCGCCUUCCAUAGCCCCUCUCAAAGAGAGCGGGAAAGGAAGCCCACCCUUCAUUUAAUCUGCACGACCUUGGUGAGGGGGAGACUCCAUCAUCGUCCCAUUUUGUGGAUGAAGAAGCUGGCUCAGAGGAGAAGUAACCCAUCCUGGGUCCAACGGCCAACCCGGGCAGACCCCGUGCUCCCCUCCCACCCCCCACCCCCCACCCCCCGGGGGAGCAGGCGGUGAACUCAGAGGGCCAGGACCGAAAUUGUUUGUUUGUUUUUUAAAAAUUUUUUUUUCCUGUUUAUUUUUCAGAGAGAGAGAGAGAGAGAGGGAGAGCAUGAGUUGGGGGGCGGGGCAGAGAGAGAGCAGGGACAGAGGAUCCUAAGCAGAUGAUGUGCUGACAACAGAGAGCCCUGCGUGGGGCUCAAACCCACGAGCCGUGAGAUCAUGACCUGAGCUGAAGCCCGACGCCCAGCCGACUGGGCACCCUCGAAAUCUUUUAAUGAGGAGUGAGGCAGAGCUGGGUCCCCGCCUGGUGUGGGUGCUGUAGGGGCCGGGCGCAGGGGCGGGGGUCGUGACACGAGGCUUUGGCUACUCCUGUUGGGACUCUUUCUCGCCCUGUUCCCUGGGCCACAGGAAGGUGGAGAAUGAACUAACACCACUCCCUCCUCACUCCUCCACGAAGCCACCUGACCCUCUGGCUACUGCUCGCCCCCCGUGAGCUCCUGUAAAUUGUGGUGGCCCCUCUUUUCCGCCUCCCACGCCAGAGACUGAGUGACCCCAGUGCCCCUUCUUUGGACAGGGUCAGCGAUCUCUGGACCCGCCAGGCCCUGGGACGGCCCCCGGGCCUGUUAGGAGCCAACCUGCGUGUGUUGCGAGGUGUGGCGCGGGGGACCGGGCACUGAGGGCGCAGGGCAGUGAGGUCUAUGCCCAGGAGAGCCCCCGUCUGGCCCCAAGGAGCUGACUCAUUCAGUCGUCAGCGAGAUGCAGUCCCAUGAGAGUAAAACGCAGACUACGGUGAAUGAUAUCUGGAGCUCUUAACUCUUUUUGUUCUUUCCAGACCCAUCUGGGGGUGUCUGACAUUUUCCAUCGCCUCACCCUGCUGGCAUCACGGGGUGGGCGGCGCGAGCGUGGAGGGGUUACCCGGAAAAGCGUAACAUUUCCAGCUACUUCCCAAGUGUCCGUGCUGUAUUUUUGUGGAUACCUUUCUUCCCGCCUACUGUGAAUCCGUAAUUUCCUUUCGGGUAAUUCUCCGUCGCCACCCUACGUGCUCCACUCCCUCCCCACCCCCACGUUCUGGCAUAAACCCACACCCUGAGGAGCGCGGCUCUCCAUGUGAGAAGGCCAUCCUUGGGAAUUCUGAGAGACAUCUGGUUCUUUUUUUUUUUUUUUAAUUUUUUUAAAUUGAAGAGAGAAUGAGUGCAGGUGGAGAAGGGGCAGAGACAGAGGGUCCCAAGUAGGUUCCACGCUCAGCACAGAGCCGGAUGCGGUUCGAUCUCGUGAACCGUGAGAUCAUGCCCUGAGCCCAAAUCAAGAGUCGGAAGCUUAACUGACUGAGCCACCCAGACGCCCCUUAGAGGGAUCAAGUUCUUCAAACAGCCCGGUGUUUGCGAAUCAGAAGUGCUGUCCGACUAUCGGUGCAGCCAGAGGUAGACGAAGCCUACCCGAGAGCCAGAAGGCUGAGAACUUGGAUCUGGAAGGCACGGGGUCGGGGUCGGGGAGGGAUCCUGCCACUGGUACCCGUAAGGGAAGGAGGCACCGGCAGCCCCAGGGGCCACCGUUCAUCACCGUCUUCGUAAAUGGCUCGCGUCCGCUCUGAUGGUCAUCGGAGAGGUAGCGUUUUGAGGAGGAGGAGACUUUGAACUUGAAAGUGAGCCGGAGGGAGCCUAGGGGGCCGGGAAGUACAGGAACAGCCACGUCGUCAUCACAAUACAACGUUGUCCCAGAGGCGCAAUGUCAGACGAGAGGCCAUGCAGGCAGUGAGCGCGAGGGGAUUUCAGGAAGAGGAGAGGUCACCCUUCUCCGGCCCCGGAGGGUGACGGCAGGGAGGCAGAGCCACAGUGGGUUUUGAGGAGGGGGUGGAGUGGGCAGAUGAGGGGGAGAGAAAUGUCCAGGUGGGGUUAUGAUGUGUGCAAAGGGCUGAGAGCGCGGAUGGUCACAGUCCUGUCGCGGGGACAGCCGCGAGGUCUUCUCCGAUGGCGGCAAGGCCUCGGUUGCAGAAGGGCUGCCUGGCACGGUGGUGUGGACUGGUUGGGGGCGUCCUCAAGGCCUGGCUGGAGACCAGGGUCAGUGGGUGUCGAAGGAGGCUCACUGGGGAGGAGGCCCGUCUACAGGGGGAGGCGCUCCUGGGAUUAGGCCCAAGUCCACACUGUGCCCGGCAGGGGGGCUGGCAGUGUGUGUCACAGGGAGGAGGUCUCAGCCAGGAGACAUCCUGGAGGGGAGGCUCCAGGCCUUCCGGCUGUGGGAGGCGGUGGGCUGGAAGCUGAUCAGACAGCAAGAGGAAUGAGGCCAGAGGGGAGCCACCUGAAGGGCUUCAGGGUGGUGGUGUCCAGUAGGAGGCAGGUGCCGGAUGCCUGGAGGACAACAGAACGCUCAGGGACGUCGGUGGUUAUUCAGAGGCCACUGGGCAGAGGUGACCCUGCCCGAGGUGAGCACCUGCGAGGUGGCCUCUCUGGGAGAGGAAGGCACCCUGCAAACAAAGCAGGAGCAGCCUGGGGAAGCCCGUGGUGGGAGGUCACUUCAGUCGCCCAAAAAACUGCUUGAGAGUUGCAGCGGUCCCAUGCACGGCUCUGACCGUGCCACGGGCUGGUGAUUUCUCAUUGUUCUGUGACUUCGGUUUCGGUUUUGUGAUGAGUGCUCAUGAACCCCAGCCCGGCGAAACCCCACAGCCCUCUGGAAGCAGUGGAAGGGAAAACAGAAAUCCAAAGAACCAGCUUGCUUUACAUCCGGAGGGCCAAAUACUGAGGGUCGUAGACUGACCUUGACCUUGGGUUGUCUCCCCCACCCAGCCUCCCCGACGCCUGCACCUGGGCCUCCCCGGCAUCUGGGAGGGAGCCACAUCUGGGUGAAGAUUUUCCGCGCAGCUCUGCUCUCUUCCAACUAAAUGAACGGGCUACUUUCAAAAAUGCUGCUGUGGGAGAAACGCAGGCACGUGUUUUUGCUCCGAGCACCACGGGUUCUCCGGCGUCCGCACCACCACGUUCAUGCACUCCGUGGUCCCCCUGCAGCCCCCACCCCCUAAUUGUGAGAACAGUGAGAAGCAUUAGCUGCUGUGGACUCACCACCCUUCUUUCUCUGAGGGCUUCCAACCGCCAGCAGAGAUCAAUAAAUUAAGAUAAAAUGACGUUUGGCUUUGUGUGGGCUCUGUUGUCAGAGAUCUGCUGGGGUUGAACGGAGAUUCUGUUUCCUUCUCCGACUCUUAAACGCUCAGGCUGCUUCUGGCUUUCCUGUCGGUGCCUCCUCUCACCCAGACCGUUCUGACACUUUGACUUACCGAUCAACUUACUGUUUUUUUUAACCCACGGUUUUUAAAAAGUUGAGCGCACGUGCGCACACACUUGAAGGGAAAGAAAAACAUGCUACCCAACAAGCCAUGUGUCAGAACCGACUAAGCUCUGAGGCUUGCCCUCCAAGAGUGAGGGCUGGGAUGAAAAUUCUCCGUGUAGCCGAUUAACACAGAUCGAACUUUUUUUUCUAAGUAUAUUUAUUUAUUUUGAGAGAGAGAGAGAGAGAGAGAGAAAGCAAGUGAGGGGGGUGCAGAGAGAGGGAGAGAAAGAGAAUCCCAAGCAGGCUCUGCACUGACAGUGGGGUUUGAACUCACGAACCAUAAGAUCGUGACCUGAGCCAAAACCAAGAGUCAGACACUGAGCUGACUGAGCCAUCCAGGUGCCCUCACAGUUGAAUUUUUAAUAGUUUGCAGCCCUGCCUGCUGUAAAUACUUUUUUGUCUCAGAGGAUGAAUACCUCCUAUCGUUCUGUCAAGACAGUGUGUCCAUUUCAGAGAAGGUGUGGCUUUGGAAAGGCAUUUGUGUGUCUCCAGUACUGGAGGGAUCAGUGGGACUUUCCUGUCCCCAGCCUUUGUCCUUGUCUUUUUAUCCACCUGGAUGGUCACUAAAUGCCCAGUGCAGGAGAACGGAGCGUCUCUGAGGUUGUCCUGGGCAUAAGUUCUGAGACUAUUGUUAAUGCAAUCCUGGCUGAAGGAAGAAGUUUCUUCUGGUGGAAUUUUUGAUUUAAGAUAAGGUCGUGGAGGGGCGCUUGGGUGGCUCAGUCGGUUAAGCAUCCGACUUCAGCUCAGGUCAUGAUCUCGCAGUUUGUGGGUUCAAGCCCUGCAUCGGGCUCUGUGCCGACAGCUCAGAGCCCGGAGCCUGCUUCAGAUUCUGUGUCUCCCUCUCUCUCUGCCUCUCCGUCACUCACACUCUGCCUCUCUCUCUCUCUCUCUCAAAGAUAAAUAACAUUAAAAAAAAAAGAGAAGAUAAGGCCGUGGAGACUGAAGUUAGCAGUGUGGUAUGGAUACUACACGGCCACCCUUACUUCUCUAUAGGAACCUUGGUUUUUGCUUCUGGGUCUCAGGAUUUGCUCAACUCGGGCCACAUGCCAUGAGGGGCCUGGAGGAGAUCUCUGGAGGAGGUCCUGCCUGGGAUAAGCUGAUGAGUUUACAGAGAGUUUACACAAUACCUGCUGGGUAUUGUGCCGCAUUUGCUUGGAGGAAAAGGUACACACUUACCAGAUAAUGAAUGAUUCAUACCCACCAUUCAGCCCAACUCCAGAAAGUUCCUGGGACCUUGAGAACACAUUUGCUGAGCAUUCACACAUGGGCCAGGGAUUGCGCCGUCCGUGGUGGACAAGGCCAUGGCUUGGCUUUUGGGGUCUAUUAUCUCGGGCAAGUGAGCAGAUACGUUUUGCAAAGGUCCAGAUGGUAAAUAUUUCUUGCUUUGAGGGCCCUGUGUCUUUGUCACAGCUACUCAACUUGGUUGUAGUGUGAAAGUAGCCACAGUUGAAUGGCAUGAUGUGUUCCAAUAAAACUUUAUUUACAAAACA
Molecule: long non-coding RNA, 6015 nt
Organism: Felis catus (domestic cat)
Lineage: Eukaryota; Metazoa; Chordata; Mammalia; Carnivora; Felidae
Exons: 2
Source: RefSeq, a predicted model, not a curated record